RNAcentral lists this ribosomal RNA (253 nucleotides) under uncultured bacterium. Its description in RNAcentral is "partial 16S ribosomal RNA". It matches the Rfam family "Bacterial small subunit ribosomal RNA", at positions 524 to 776 of the family's 1533-position model. The record is from RNAcentral.
UACGGAGGGUGCAAGCGUUGUCCGGAUUUAUUGGGUUUAAAGGGUGCGUAGGCGGCCCGUUAAGUCAGCGGUGAAAUCCCAGGGCUCAACCCCGGAACUGCCGUUGAUACUGGCGGGCUUGAGUUCGGUCGAGGCGGGCGGAACUGGUGGUGUAGCGGUGAAAUGCAUAGAUACCACCAAGAACCCCGAUUGCGUAGGCAGCUCGCUAGGCCGAAACUGACGCUGAGGCACGAAAGCGUGGGGAGCGAACAGG